UACGGAGGAUCCAAGCGUUGUCCGGAAUCAUUGGGUUUAAAGGGUCCGUAGGCGGUUUAAUAAGUCAGUGGUGAAAGCCCAUCGCUCAACGGUGGAACGGCCAUUGAUACUGUUAAACUUGAAUUAUUAGGAAGUAACUAGAAUAUGUAGUGUAGCGGUGAAAUGCUUAGAGAUUACAUGGAAUACCAAUUGCGAAGGCAGGUUACUACUAAUGGAUUGACGCUGAUGGACGAAAGCGUGGGUAGCGAACAGG
RNAcentral lists this ribosomal RNA (253 nucleotides) under uncultured bacterium. Its description in RNAcentral is "partial 16S ribosomal RNA". It matches the Rfam family "Bacterial small subunit ribosomal RNA", at positions 524 to 776 of the family's 1533-position model. The record is from RNAcentral.